GACGAACGCUGGCGGCGUGCUUAACACAUGCAAGUCGAGCGGUAAGGCCCUUUCGGGGGUACACGAGCGGCGAACGGGUGAGUAACACGUGGGUGACCUGCCCUCAGCUCUGGGAUAAGCCUGGGAAACCGGGUCUAAUACCGGAUAUGACUCCAUGACGCAUGUUGUGGGGUGAAAGCCUUGUGCGGCUGAGGAUGGGCCCGCGGCCUAUCAGCUUGUUGGUGGGGUGAUGGCCUACCAAGGCGACGACGGGUAGCCGGCCUGAGAGGGCGGUCGGCCACACUGACACUGAAAUACGGGUCA
Molecule: ribosomal RNA, 303 nt
Filed under: uncultured bacterium
Lineage: Bacteria
Description: bacterial SSU rRNA
Rfam family: Bacterial small subunit ribosomal RNA
Source: RNAcentral